Molecule: ribosomal RNA, 478 nt
Filed under: uncultured organism
Description: partial 16S ribosomal RNA
Rfam family: Bacterial small subunit ribosomal RNA
Source: RNAcentral
CGUACACUCCUACGGGAGGCAGCAGUGGGGAAUUUUGGACAAUGGGCGAAAGCCUGAUCCAGCCAUGCCGCGUGCAGGAUGAAGGCCUUCGGGUUGUAAACUGCUUUUGUACGGAACGAAACGGCCUUUUCUAAUAAAGAGGGCUAAUGACGGUACCGUAAGAAUAAGCACCGGCUAACUACGUGCCAGCAGCCGCGGUAAUACGUAGGGUGCAAGCGUUAAUCGGAAUUACUGGGCGUAAAGCGUGCGCAGGCGGUUAUGUAAGACAGUUGUGAAAUCCCCGGGCUCAACCUGGGAACUGCAUCUGUGACUGCAUAGCUAGAGUACGGUAGAGGGGGAUGGAAUUCCGCGUGUAGCAGUGAAAUGCGUAGAUAUGCGGAGGAACACCGAUGGCGAAGGCAAUCCCCUGGACCUGUACUGACGCUCAUGCACGAAAGCGUGGGGAGCAAACAGGAUUAGAAACCCGGGUAGUCCCAUG